ACCUGGUUGGCUCAGUCAGUAGAGCAUGUGACUCUUGAUCACACAGUUGUGAGUUCAAGCCCCACAUUAAGCA
RNAcentral lists this transfer RNA (73 nucleotides) under Felis catus (domestic cat). It matches the Rfam family "tRNA". From Rfam's summary of the family: Transfer RNA (tRNA) molecules are approximately 80 nucleotides in length. Their secondary structure includes four short double-helical elements and three loops (D, anti-codon, and T loops). The record is from Rfam by way of RNAcentral. Lineage: Eukaryota; Metazoa; Chordata; Mammalia; Carnivora; Felidae.